This 510-nucleotide ribosomal RNA is filed under the name uncultured bacterium. Its description in RNAcentral is "partial 16S ribosomal RNA". It matches the Rfam family "Bacterial small subunit ribosomal RNA", at positions 28 to 507 of the family's 1533-position model. The record is from RNAcentral.
GAUGAACGCUGGCGGCGUGCUUAACACAUGCAAGUCGAACGAAGAGCGAUGGAGGCUUGCUUCUUUCAGUUUUAGUGGCGAACGGGUGAGUAACGCGUAAUCAACCUGCCUUUCAGAGGGGGGAAACAGUGGGAAACGACUGCUAAUACCGCAAACGUUCUAAUCUCGGCAUCGAGGAAAGAAAAAAGGUGGCCUCUAUUUAUAUACUAUCACUGAAGGUGGAGUAUGCGUCUGAUUAGCUAGUUGGGGGGGUAACGGCCCAACAAGGCGAUGAUCAGUAGCCGGUCUGGGAGGAUGAACGGCCACAUUGGGACUGAGACACGGCCCAGACUCCUACGGGAGGCAGCAGGGGGGAAUCUUCCGGAAUGGACGAAAGUCUGACGGAGCAACGCCGCGUGAGGGAUGAAGGCCUUCGGGUUGUAAAGCUCUGUUAAUCGGGACGAAAGGCAUGCUUGCGAACAGUUAGAAGGAUUGACGGUACCGGAAUAGAAAGCCACGGCUAACUACGUG